Molecule: long non-coding RNA, 1397 nt
Organism: Megalobrama amblycephala (Wuchang bream)
Lineage: Eukaryota; Metazoa; Chordata; Actinopteri; Cypriniformes; Xenocyprididae
Exons: 7
Source: RefSeq, a predicted model, not a curated record
CGCGAUAAACAUGUCCGCCAUUUUACAACUGUUGCAGAGCAAGCAACGGCAAAUGUUAAAGCAACUUCUUUCCUGCUUUUGGUCUUUUUUAGCAACCCAAGAGAACAGCUCAGAGUCGUCUCCUGUAAUGCCUGAUGAGUUUGGAGAACACCUGACCAGAGAUCAGACACCGUUCCUUCAUGAACCUCUCCAGAUCCUUCAGACUCCUGCUCCAUGUUGUGCUUCUUCUCUUCAGCUCAUAUAUACAUAUAUAACUAUUGUUGGAGGGAGUCUGGGCGCUGUAUAAAGCUGUUGGUGGAUCUGGUCAGUGAAAGCUGAAUGUUGUUGCAUACACAGGUUCCUGCCUCAUUGAAACGGCUGGAGGAAAGGGCUGUCUCUACGUAAUGCCCGUUCAGAACACACCGGACAUCUCCAGAUGAAGAAGUGUCCUCUACCUCCACAGAAAUGAAUCGUGUAGUGGCAAUUUAGGGAAUGAGUGGAUUCACCUUCAGCGGUUAUGAUGCCAAGGUAUCUUGUCCUGUGUGUUCUGCCAUGUGUUCAGAAGACUUUACUGAAGUACCUGUGGGGAAAGAGCUGACGAUAGACCAUACCAAGAUUUGGACAUAAUGGGACAAAAGCAAGACAAGCAAAAGAGCCUUACAGACGCAAUCAACACACACUUAAAGAGGCACCAUUUUCAGCCUCUGUGUCACAAGGGCAGACGUGUUCUCCCGAGGCCUGACGCAGUGGAAGCGGCAGAAGAAGUCCUCUCCGAAGAAUCCCCUCGGAGUCACUUUCAUUGGAGAGUCUGGGAUAGAUAGAGCAGCUCUAAUGAAAUAAUUCCUGACCGCUGUGUUUUUGUCCUCGGAUGCAGCAGCACCAUUGCAUAAAUUAUGCAGUUUUAUCACAUGUAGUCAUCAUCUUCUGAACUAACUUCAGUGCUUCUGUUUAUUAGUACUGGCAAUUUGCUUUUUUCACAGAAAUGAUUUGAGGAAAAAUUCUCUGAGAUCGAAUUCUGUCCAUCUUAUUUUGAAAUUGAAACAAUAAAUAUCGCUGUGGCGCUCGCUGUUUAAUGCAGUGACCGAUCACGCAAUGUGCCUCAGGUCAAGUGAAGCGGCAGCAUGCAGCGCACUGAAAGAUCAUGUCUUCCUCUAUUUUAAUACCAGUUAUGGGCUACAGCGUGAAAUAAACAUGAAUGAGGUGUGUAAACAGAUACAGGACAAUUUACUGACAUUAAUGUGAUCGCUCAAUCAGUGCUUCAGCCAUAUUUCAAAGACGUCACAAACAGCAACAUGUCAUGUUUUUUCUCAUAAAAUCCAUAUUCAGUGACCAUGAACUUGGUAAUAAUCUAGAAAAUUAACUCUGGAGAGGAGCAUUUUGAUAAAUAUAUGCACCAUACUACAGUGGCAUGAAAAAGU